CGAGUGAAGCGGCAACAGCUCAAAUUUGAAAUCUGGCUCUCGGGCCCGAGUUGUAAUUUGUAGAGGAUGCUUUUGAUGCGGUGCCUUCCGAGUUCCCUGGAACGGGACGCCAUAGAGGGUGAGAGCCCCGUCUGGUUGGAUACCAAAUCUCUGUAAAGCUCCUUCGACGAGUCGAGUAGUUUGGGAAUGCUGCUCUAAAUGGGAGGUAUAUGUCUUCUAAAGCUAAAUACUGGCCAGAGACCGAUAGCGCACAAGUAGAGUGAUCGAAAGAUGAAAAGCACUUUGAAAAGAGAGUUAAAAAGUACGUGAAAUUGUUGAAAGGGAAGCGUUUAUGACCAGACUUGGGCUUGGAUAAUCAUCUGGGGUUCUCCCCAGUGCACUUUUCCAGUCCAGGCCAGCAUCAGUUUUCGCCGGGGGAUAAAGGCUUCGGGAAUGUGGCUCCCUCCGGGGAGUGUUAUAGCCCGUUGCGUAAUACCCUGGCGGGGACUGAGGUUCGCGCAUCUGCAAGGAUGCUGGCGUAAUGGUCAUCAACGACCCGUCUUGAAACACGGACCAAGGAGUCGUCUUCGUAUGCGAGUGUUCGGGUGUCAAACCCCUACGCGUAAUGAAAGUGAACGCAGGUGAGAGCUUCGGCGCAUCAUCGACCGAUCCUGAUGUUCUCGGAUGGAUUUGAGUAAGAGCAUACGGGGCCGGACCCGAAAGAAGGUGAACUAUGCCUGUGUAGGGUGAAGCCAGAGGAAACUCUGGUGGAGGCUCGCAGCGGUUCUGACGUGCAAAUCGAUCGUCAAACAUGGGCAUGGGGGCGAAAGACUAAUCGA
RNAcentral lists this ribosomal RNA (818 nucleotides) under Fusarium toxicum. RNAcentral's name for it is "partial large subunit ribosomal RNA". It matches the Rfam family "Eukaryotic large subunit ribosomal RNA", at positions 90 to 938 of the family's 3401-position model. The record is from RNAcentral. Lineage: Eukaryota; Fungi; Ascomycota; Sordariomycetes; Hypocreales; Nectriaceae.